AAAUUGAAGAGUUUGAUCAUGGCUCAGAUUGAACGCUGGCGGCAGGCCUAACACAUGCAAGUCGAGCGGAAACGAGUUAUCUGAACCUUCGGGGAACGAUAACGGCGUCGAGCGGCGGACGGGUGAGUAAUGCCUAGGAAAUUGCCCUGAUGUGGGGGAUAACCAUUGGAAACGAUGGCUAAUACCGCAUGAUGCCUACGGGCCAAAGAGGGGGACCUUCGGGCCUCUCGCGUCAGGAUAUGCCUAGGUGGGAUUAGCUAGUUGGUGAGGUAAGGGCUCACCAAGGCAACGAUCCCUAGCUGGUCUGAGAGGAUGAUCAGCCACACUGGAACUGAGACACGGUCCAGACUCCUACGGGAGGCAGCAGUGGGGAAUAUUGCACAAUGGGCGCAAGCCUGAUGCAGCCAUGCCGCGUGUGUGAAGAAGGCCUUCGGGUUGUAAAGCACUUUCAGUCGUGAGGAAGGUAGUGUAGUUAAUAGCUGCAUUAUUUGACGUUAGCGACAGAAGAAGCACCGGCUAACUCCGUGCCAGCAGCCGCGGUAAUACGGAGGGUGCGAGCGUUAAUCGGAAUUACUGGGCGUAAAGCGCAUGCAGGUGGUUUGUUAAGUCAGAUGUGAAAGCCCGGGGCUCAACCUCGGAAUAGCAUUUGAAACUGGCAGACUAGAGUACUGUAGAGGGGGGUAGAAUUUCAGGUGUAGCGGUGAAAUGCGUAGAGAUCUGAAGGAAUACCGGUGGCGAAGGCGGCCCCCUGGACAGAUACUGACACUCAGAUGCGAAAGCGUGGGGAGCAAACAGGAUUAGAUACCCUGGUAGUCCACGCCGUAAACGAUGUCUACUUGGAGGUUGUGGCCUUGAGCCGUGGCUUUCGGAGCUAACGCGUUAAGUAGACCGCCUGGGGAGUACGGUCGCAAGAUUAAAACUCAAAUGAAUUGACGGGGGCCCGCACAAGCGGUGGAGCAUGUGGUUUAAUUCGAUGCAACGCGAAGAACCUUACCUACUCUUGACAUCCAGAGAACUUUCCAGAGAUGGAUUGGUGCCUUCGGGAACUCUGAGACAGGUGCUGCAUGGCUGUCGUCAGCUCGUGUUGUGAAAUGUUGGGUUAAGUCCCGCAACGAGCGCAACCCUUAUCCUUGUUUGCCAGCGAGUAAUGUCGGGAACUCCAGGGAGACUGCCGGUGAUAAACCGGAGGAAGGUGGGGACGACGUCAAGUCAUCAUGGCCCUUACGAGUAGGGCUACACACGUGCUACAAUGGCGCAUACAGAGGGCGGCCAACUUGCGAAAGUGAGCGAAUCCCAAAAAGUGCGUCGUAGUCCGGAUUGGAGUCUGCAACUCGACUCCAUGAAGUCGGAAUCGCUAGUAAUCGUGGAUCAGAAUGCCACGGUGAAUACGUUCCCGGGCCUUGUACACACCGCCCGUCACACCAUGGGAGUGGGCUGCAAAAGAAGUAGGUAGUUUAACCUUCGGGGGGACGCUUACCACUUUGUGGUUCAUGACUGGGGUGAAGUCGUAACAAGGUAGCGCUAGGGGAACCUGGCGCUGGAUCACCUCCUUA
Molecule: ribosomal RNA, 1553 nt
Filed under: Vibrio alginolyticus
Lineage: Bacteria; Pseudomonadati; Pseudomonadota; Gammaproteobacteria; Vibrionales; Vibrionaceae
Also listed under: 2 other names
Description: bacterial SSU rRNA
Rfam family: Bacterial small subunit ribosomal RNA
Source: RNAcentral